RNA transcript from Drosophila teissieri, 739 nucleotides. RefSeq lists it as uncharacterized. The transcript has 4 exons. The record is from RefSeq and is a predicted model, not a curated record. NCBI's taxonomy places the organism in Eukaryota, Metazoa, Arthropoda, Insecta, Diptera, Drosophilidae.
UCAGGAGUAAACAGAUCCGGACUCUUCUAAAAUCAACACAAGCCUCACCAAAUUGAUCGUUUAUAUCGAAUUGAAGCUAAAAUGAAACUGCUGGGACUUGGGGCGCAGGUUUUGAGGCUCAAAACUGGCGGGCAGAAUCGCUCUGCGAAAACUUGCCCCCCGGAAAUUCGCGAGCCCUUGCCGUGCUGUCCCAAAAAACGUUUUUGGACUUUCAAACGAGUGCUAUGUUUCUCCACGUUAACCUUUGGCGCCGGGGUUUAUACGGGUAUCUAUGUCUCACAGAACUAUGAGGUCCCCCGAGUGGAUGAUCCCCAGAAACUGAUCCAGCGUUUUAACGAGAAACUCAAGGAACUAGUCGAUCAAACCAAGAACAAGUAAAAGCCUGGUAGUUUUGUACAAGGAUAACGUUGCCGUCACUAAAUUCAAAUGAGUCAUAGACAGACCUUUGUAACUUAAAUUGUAUAAAAAUCAUAAGCUAUACCUAGAUUUUUUGCGCUAUUUGAUAUAGAGCUUUCCCACAUGCUUGUUUCACAAAUGAUGAAAAUAGGAAGUGCUGAAAAAAUGCGGGUGCAGUCGUGAUAAGUGAUCGGCCGGCGAGAAACUAGUGGAUGACAUCAAAAAGGAGGCCAAGAAGAUUUUAGACGACUGACUGGCGCAAUAAGACCUCAUUUUAAGUUUAAACAAAUUUAUCUAUGAUCAAAUAAAGAAAAGUUAUACGUGUAAGACUAGACAAAAGAAA